AUUGAACGCUGGCGGCGUGCCUAACACAUGCAAGUCGAGCGGUAACAGGUGUAGCAAUACAUGCUGACGAGCGGCGAACGGGUGAGUAAUGCUUCGGAAUCUACCCAAUGGUGGGGAAUAACCAGCCGAAAGGUUGGCUAAUACCGCAUACGUCCCACGGGAGAAAGCAGGGGAUCGCAAGACCUUGCGCCAAUGGAUGAGCCGAAGUCGGAUUAGCUAGUUGGAGGGUAACGGCCUACCAAGGCGACGAUCCGUAGCUGGUCUGAGAGGACGACCAGCCACACUGGGACUGAGACACGGCCCAGACUCCUACGGGAGGCAGCAGUGGGGAAUAUUGGACAAUGGGGGAAACCCUGAUCCAGCGACGCCGCGUGUGUGAAGAAGGCCUGCGGGUUGUAAAGCACUUUUAGUGGGGAUGAAAUGUUCAGGGUUAACACCUCUGGAUUUUGACCUAACCCACAAGAAAAGCACCGGCUAACUCUGUGCCAGCA
This 491-nucleotide ribosomal RNA is filed under the name uncultured bacterium. Its description in RNAcentral is "bacterial SSU rRNA". It matches the Rfam family "Bacterial small subunit ribosomal RNA", at positions 30 to 513 of the family's 1533-position model. The record is from RNAcentral.